RNAcentral lists this transfer RNA (90 nucleotides) under Pyronema omphalodes CBS 100304. RNAcentral describes it as "tRNA-Ile". It matches the Rfam family "tRNA". Rfam says of the family: Transfer RNA (tRNA) molecules are approximately 80 nucleotides in length. The record is from RNAcentral. Lineage: Eukaryota; Fungi; Ascomycota; Pezizomycetes; Pezizales; Pyronemataceae.
GAGUCUCUAGCUUACUGGUAGAGUACAUGAUUGAUGAUCACAUCGAUUCGUUAGUGAGGGUCGAUCUAGGUUCGAUUCCUGGGGGACUCA